AUUGAACGCUGGCGGCAUGCCUUACGCAUGCAAGUCGAACGGCAGGCACGGGAGCAAUCCUGGUGGCGAGUGGCGAACGGGUGAGUAACGUAUCGGAACGUGGCCCAGUGAUGGGGGAUAGCCCGGCGAAAGCCGGAUUAAUACCGCAUACGACCUACGGGUGAAAGCAGGGGAUCGCAAGACCUUGCGUCAUUGGAGCGGCCGAUAUCAGAUUAGCUUGUUGUGGGUAAAGCUACCAAGGCGACGAUCUGUAGCUGGUCUGAGAGGACGACCAGCCACACUGGGACUGAGACACGGCCCAGACUCCUACGGGAGGCAGCAGUGGGGAAUUUUGGACAAUGGGCGCAAGCCUGAUCCAGCCAUGCCGCGUGCGGG
RNAcentral lists this ribosomal RNA (375 nucleotides) under uncultured bacterium. RNAcentral's name for it is "bacterial SSU rRNA". It matches the Rfam family "Bacterial small subunit ribosomal RNA", at positions 29 to 407 of the family's 1533-position model. The record is from RNAcentral.